RNAcentral lists this non-coding RNA (28 nucleotides) under Mus musculus (house mouse). The record is from RNAcentral. Lineage: Eukaryota; Metazoa; Chordata; Mammalia; Rodentia; Muridae.
CUGCAUAUGGCAAUCACUAGAUGGUCCA